UACGUAGGGGGCAAGCGUUGUCCGGAAUCAUUGGGCGUAAAGAGCGUGUAGGCGGCCAGAUAAGUCCGCUGUGAAAUCUCGAGGCUCAACUUCGAGCUGUCGGUGGAAACUGUCUGGCUAGAGUCCGGAAGAGGAGAAUGGAAUUCCUGGUGUAGCGGUGAAAUGCGCAGAUAUCAGGAAGAACACCCGUGGCGAAGGCGGUUCUCUGGGACGGUGCUGACGCUGAGACGCGAAAGCGUGGGGAGCGAACAGG
RNAcentral lists this ribosomal RNA (253 nucleotides) under uncultured bacterium. RNAcentral's name for it is "partial 16S ribosomal RNA". It matches the Rfam family "Bacterial small subunit ribosomal RNA", at positions 524 to 776 of the family's 1533-position model. The record is from RNAcentral.